Non-coding RNA from Odocoileus virginianus texanus, 340 nucleotides. NCBI's taxonomy places the organism in Eukaryota, Metazoa, Chordata, Mammalia, Artiodactyla, Cervidae. The record is from RefSeq and is a predicted model, not a curated record.
CUUCUCCAGGGGGUCUGCCCAACCCAGGGAUUGAAAUCAGGUCUCCUGCAAGGAGGGAAGAUUCUUUACGAUCUGAGUUACCAGGGGAUAUGAAGAAGUACUGCAGAGCUCUUCAUGAUGCCAUCAUUGUUUAAAGGAUCCUUUGUUAUCUGAUUAUUUCAUUAAUAUGAAUAACAAUGUCCUUCCUCAAUAUUGUGAGAUAAAUGAGCUUCUGUAACAGAGAUUAAGCAACAAUCUGGAGGAUGAAAAAAUAGGUCUGCUAAAGAAAACUGUAGAUUUUAUUUUCUUCUUCAUCUUGAAAUGGAAUACUAUAAAAGGGUAGAAAUAAAAAGCAAAGAAA